Long non-coding RNA from Juglans microcarpa x Juglans regia, 1147 nucleotides. RefSeq lists it as uncharacterized. The transcript is spliced from 3 exons. The record is from RefSeq and is a predicted model, not a curated record. NCBI's taxonomy places the organism in Eukaryota, Viridiplantae, Streptophyta, Magnoliopsida, Fagales, Juglandaceae.
GGUAAUAUCGGCUUGAAAAGCACAACCCUGUCUUUCGCAAGAACAAGUCCAAACAGUCACCGCUUCUGCUUCCUCUUACAAUCCCCCCCCAUCCCCCUCUCUCUGCAAUUUUUUUUAUUUUAUUUCCUUACUUAUUCGGAUCCAUUUCGUCAAAAUAGAUCUGAUCUGCAUUUCUAAAGAUGGUUGACAGAGUGUGAUGAUGGUGCAGUCACCAAAUGGGCAUGGCAGGGACUGGAAAAGCUAACUCUCAUUGAUGCUAACCUCUAUCCAAAAUGGAAAAUGGGAAAAAUAUGAAUACCACCGGAACACAAGAUAGCUUUAUGAUGAAGCCCCAUGACCAAAGACAGCGCACUAGAGGCCACCUUGAUGUUAUCACUCGUCGCCUGAAGAACCGAGAACGGCAACGUAGGUAUAGGGCUCGGAAGCGGCUUGAAGCAGAAAGUAAGAAGUCUUGUGUUAUAAAUCAGUCAGCUCCACCACAAGUAGAUUUACAACAAAACAAGACCCAUAGCCCUUGUAUGACCCGCGUGCAUUGUAAACGAGAUUGGAAAAAGGACGCAAGAAGGGCUCAUACAUCUAAGGAUAAAGAUGUCAUACCUAAUGGCACUGUUAAAUUAACUAGUGAAAAUCAGACGCCAAGCUUGCCAUCUGGAAUCAAGGCAGAACCAUCAUUUGAAAGGGUUCAUUCUGAGAUUUCCCAUAGCCUGGUCAAUUCUGAAAUGCAUAGAACUAUCUGUGGUCGAAGAGAUUGGAAAGGAGAUGCAAGAAAGAAAAAAUGCUAGAGUGGUUACCAACCUGUAGGGUGCAACAUCAUACAAUUAGAGUAUCAGAUAACUCCUUAUUGUGAUGUUUCAGACAGUUCUGAAGUUUUAGUGGCACAAAAAACUUGUGAUGUUAUUAUGCUAGCUGAAGAAGUUGUUUGUGGGAAAAGUUUUUGUUCUCAGUUUUUUCACUUUUUCAAAACGUUUGAUGUUGCAGGUGAAGGGCAUUCAGAAUAUGCCAAGGAAAGUUACCAUUAGGUUACUGCCAGGUUCUGAAGGUGGGAGAAUCCCGCUUUAGUUUGAAAGGCUGGUAUCAUAUGGUCAAGAAUGAUCAGAAUGUAUGACGUAAUUCAUGUAAGAUCAAUAAACAUGAAUCGUGAAUAUAU